UUUGGCAGCGCGAGGAGUACGGCCCUGAAAAGUAGGGAUAGUUGGGGGCAUUAAUAUUUAAUUGUCAGAGGUGAAAUUCUUGUAUUUAUGAAAGAUUAACCCCCGCGAAAGCAUCUGCCAAGGAUGUUUUCAUUAAUCAAGAACGAAAGUUAAGGGAUCGAAGACGAUCAGAUACCAUCGUAGUCUUAACCAUAAACGAUGCCAACCAGCGAUUAGGAGACGUUGAAUACAAAACACCACCCUCGGCGCGGUCGUCCUUGGCGUGUCGGCUUCUCGGCGGC
This 281-nucleotide ribosomal RNA is filed under the name Acanthamoeba genotype T4. Its description in RNAcentral is "partial 18S ribosomal RNA". It matches the Rfam family "Eukaryotic small subunit ribosomal RNA", at positions 841 to 1087 of the family's 1831-position model. Lineage: Eukaryota; Discosea; Longamoebia; Acanthamoebidae. The record is from RNAcentral.